GUCUCUCCAAACACGACUCGUGGUUCCGCCAUUUGGGGCGUGGUCCGGCAGCUGCCAUCUUGAGUGUGGCUGAAGAAGCUUGCUCGCCAACUACUGCUGCGGGACACCUUCCUUACUAAGUAAUGGAAGCCCUCGACGCUAGAGCGAGCGAGAGAGAAACAGCAUGAGAGGGGAGAGGGUCAGAGGGAGAAGCAGGCUCCCCGCUGAGCCGGGAGCCCGACGUGGGACUCGAUCCCAGGACCCUGGGACCAUGACCCAAGCCGAAGGCAGACGCUUAACCAUCUGAGCCACCCAGAGAGAGACAGCGAGAGCGGGAACACAGCAGGGAGCCGGAUGCAGGGCUCGAUCCCAGGACCCUGGGAUCAUGACCUGAGCCGAAGGCAGACACUUAACGACUGAGCCACCCAGGCGCCCCACCUCUCUGCUUUCUGUCUCUAUUAAUACGACUAUCCGGGUGCCUCACAGAGGUGGAAUGGUUGAGCAGCUGUCCUUUUAUAAUGUCCUCAUGGUUAGUCCAUCUUGUCACGCACGUCCUAAUUUUCUCCCUUUUUGUUUUAUUUAUUUUAUCAUUUUUUUAAAGUAGGCUCCACACCCAACGUGGGGCUUGAACUCACAACCCUGAGAUCAAGAGUCGCACGCUUUACUGACUGAGCCAGCCAGGCGCCCUGGAAUUUUCUUCCUCUUUUUUAAGGCUGGAUAAUAGGUACCCCAUUUUCUUCAUCCAGUCAUCUGUUGAUGGACCCUGGGGUUGCUUCCAUCUCGUGGCUCUAGUGAAUAACACUGCUCUGAACAUGGCUGUACAGAUGUCUCUUCAAGACCCUGCUUUCAGCUCUUCGGGGUACCUACCCAGAAGUAGAACUGCUGGGUUAUAUGGUAAUUCUAUUUUUAAUUUUUGGAGGAACUGCCAUACUGUUUUCCAUAGCGACGGUAUGUAGUGUUUUUUAUCUUGCUUUUUCCCCUCAGUGAUACAUCUUAAGAAGUGACCCAGGUCAGUCUGCAGAGAUCCAACUCACUUUAAAAAAAACUGUUUUGAAGUAUAAUCUAUGUCCAGAAAAGUGCAUAAAUCAUAAGUGAACAACAGCUGGAUUAAAUUCCAGAAACUAACCACACCUGAUAAUCAGAGGUCAGCUCAAGAGAAGAACAUGACCUUUCCUCAGAGUGCCCCCGAGGGUAACGACUAACUGGACUUCUACCAACAUGGAUUACUUUUGCCUGGUUUUGAAUUUUAUAUAAAUGAAAUCACACCGUA
Long non-coding RNA from Mirounga angustirostris (Northern elephant seal), 1249 nucleotides. RefSeq lists it as uncharacterized. The record is from RefSeq and is a predicted model, not a curated record. NCBI's taxonomy places the organism in Eukaryota, Metazoa, Chordata, Mammalia, Carnivora, Phocidae. The transcript has 3 exons.